AGCGAGCGCUGGCGGCAGGCUUAACACAUGCAAGUCGAGCGGGCCCUUCGGGGUCAGCGGCGGACGGGUGAGUAACGCGUGGGAACGUGCCUUCUGGUUCGGAAUAACUCAGGGAAACUUGAGCUAAUACCGGAUACGCCCUUUUAGGGAAAGGUUUACUGCCGGAAGAUCGGCCCGCGUCUGAUUAGCUAGUUGGUGGGGUAACGGCCUACCAAGGCGACGAUCAGUAGCUGGUCUGAGAGGAUGAUCAGCCACACUGGGACUGAGACACGGCCCAGACUCCUACGGGAGGCAGCAGUGGGGAAUAUUGGACAAUGGGCGCAAGCCUGAUCCAGCCAUGCCGCGUGAGUGAUGAAGGCCUUAGGGUUGUAAAGCUCUUUUAUCCGGGACGAUAAUGACGGUACCGGAGGAAUAAGCCCCGGCUAACUUCGUG
Molecule: ribosomal RNA, 433 nt
Filed under: uncultured bacterium
Lineage: Bacteria
Description: partial 16S ribosomal RNA
Rfam family: Bacterial small subunit ribosomal RNA
Source: RNAcentral